RNAcentral lists this ribosomal RNA (915 nucleotides) under uncultured archaeon. Its description in RNAcentral is "bacterial SSU rRNA". It matches the Rfam family "Archaeal small subunit ribosomal RNA", at positions 1 to 922 of the family's 1478-position model. The record is from RNAcentral.
UUUCCGGUUGAUCCCGCCAGACCUGACUGCUAUCGGAUUGAUACUAAGCCAUGCGAGUCGUUGUAGCAAUACAAGGCAUACGGCUCAGUAACGCGUAGUCAACCUAACCUAUGGACGGGAAUAACCUCGGGAAACUGAGAAUAAUGCCCGAUAGAACAUUAUGCCUGGAAUGGUUUAUGUUCCAAAUGAUUUAUCGCCAUAGGAUGGGACUGCGGCCUAUCAGUUUGUUGGUGAGGUAAUGGCCCACCAAGACUAUUACAGGUACGGGCUCUGAGAGGAGUAGCCCGGAGAUGGGUACUGAGACACGGACCCAGGCCCUAUGGGGCGCAGCAGGCGAGAAAACUUUGCAAUGUGCGAAAGCACGACAAGGUUAAUCCGAGUGAUUUCUGCUAAAGAGAUCUUUUGUUAGUCCUAGAAACACUAACGAAUAAGGGGUGGGCAAGUUCUGGUGUCAGCCGCCGCGGUAAAACCAGCACCUCAAGUGGUCAGGAUGAUUAUUGGGCCUAAAGCAUCCGUAGCCGGCUCUGUAGGUUUUCGGUUAAAUCUGUACGCUCAACGUACAGGCUGCCGGGAAUACUGCAGAACUAGGGAGUGGGAGAGGUAGACGGUACUCGGUAGGAAGUGGUAAAAUGCUUUGAUCUAUCGAUGACCACCUGUGGCGAAGGCGGUCUACCAGAACACGUCCGACGGUGAGGGAUGAAAGCUGGGGGAGCAAACCGGAUUAGAUACCCGGGUAGUCCCAGCUGUAAACUAUGCAAACUCAGUGAUGCAUUGGCUUGUGGCCAAUGCAGUGCUGCAGGGAAGCCGCUAAGUUUGCCGCCUGGGAAGUACGUACGCAAGUAUGAAACUUAAAGGAAUUGGCGGGGGAGCACCACAAGGGGUGAAGCCUGCGGUUCAAUUGGAUUCAACGCCGGA